CUCGCAUUCCCCUAUCGCAAACCUUCCAAGCUAGAGUAUAUGACACAUAAGUUCAAAAGAAAUGAUAAAAAUCUGAUAGCAGCUUUCAAAGACAGCUUAGAUUUGAACCAGGUCUCUUUAUCUGUCACUUGUGACAAUACAGAAGUUGAAAUUUGUUCCUCGGAUAACAUUACACCUUGCAAGAGAAAUUUGUUCGAAUCUGAUGUCGAGCAAUCUGUUUCAGUGGACUUGAUCUCUCCGCAAAUGUCAAGCAACAAAAAGGAAAAACAUAUCAAAAUUGAAAAAGAUAAUUACUAGAUUCUACGGAGAGUAGAAGCUACAUUUUGAAGGAAAAAACCUGUCUGAUUUAUGAUGUAUGAAACUUAUAUUUAGUAUUCUUGUAUGAAUACAUAUUUAGUAAGCUUUUGUAAUCAGUGCAGGUUAUUUUGGUGGUUUUGGGUUGAUAAACCUAAAUAUUUGAUAUGAUUAUAUUAUGCUGGAUAUUUGGUUUAUCAAUAUAUUGAUAGUUAUUAUUUUCA
Molecule: long non-coding RNA, 518 nt
Organism: Asparagus officinalis (garden asparagus)
Lineage: Eukaryota; Viridiplantae; Streptophyta; Magnoliopsida; Asparagales; Asparagaceae
Exons: 2
Source: RefSeq, a predicted model, not a curated record